This 69-nucleotide transfer RNA is filed under the name Antilochus coquebertii. RNAcentral's name for it is "tRNA-Gln". Lineage: Eukaryota; Metazoa; Arthropoda; Insecta; Hemiptera; Pyrrhocoridae. The record is from RNAcentral.
UAUAUAUUAGUGUAUGAGGCACGUGGAAUUUUGAAUUCUUUAGAUUUAGUUUAAUUCUAAAAUAUAUAA